GACAGGCAAAACCUAUAAUAGAAUUAACCUUCGACAAAUUAAUAUAAAUUAUCGGUAAACUUCUAGCAUAUAAGUACUUACAACAUUAUAGUAUAAUAUAAGUAUAAUAUGAAUAGAACCGCCUCUGGAACAACGGCGAUGAAUUUAUGAGUUAAACAAUUUUUUUCCCUAUACAAAUAAAACUUAACAUUUUUUUAGAUAGUGAGCGUAGCAAAAAAUAUAUUGGUCUUAUUAUAGGAUGUGUGUGUGUGUGUGUGUUUAAUAUUUUUCACCAAAAAUUCCCAUUCGAUCUUCAAGUGUAGAUUAUUUUCCAAAAGCUAUAAUUUUGUUUGGUAGUAAUACUAAGGAAAUCAUCUUUUUAUUUUUAUUAAUAAUUAGAAAAAACGGGGAAAUUGACAAGAGGUUCAUCAUAAAUUGUACUUGUAGUGUUUAAAAAAUUUACUCGAUCAUAAUGUUUUAGGUGGGUAACUGAGAAGGUAGGAUACAUAAAGUUAUUACACCUAUUACACCUAAGUUAUUAACCAACGAUAAACUAUUGCUAACGAAAAACAAUUCGGAGGGAGAUUAUACAUAAUUUGAAACACCAUAAUAUUUAUGGUUCUCGCAAAAAUUUAAUUUUAAACUUUAUAAAAAAAAUUAUAUAUAUAUAUAUAUAUAUAAUACCCGAUUUUAGAUUCUGCCUGGAGCGAAGAAGCUUAUGAUUUUACAAAGAUGUUAUUUUUUUUUAUCUUUUAACAGCUUUUCUACCAAAAGACUUGUUCGGAUUUCAAAGUGUAGCACAUUUUCUGAAACGCAAUUAGUGUGAGGAGGUACUUUAAAGAGGUAAUUUUUCGAUUUUCUCAGAAGUUUUCUUACCAAAAUUGAGAAACCGGGAAAAACGUAGACAAAGUAAGAAAAUCGGUACAACAUUUAACAAAUAUUAUUAAAGAAAACACAUAAAGCCUGUUUAAUUAUUUUACAAUAAAAUAACAUAUAUAUUGUAGACAAAGCAUCACUGUCAACUGAACUUCAUUCAGAAUCGUUUUUUCGUAAGCAAUAGUUUAUCGUUGCUUACAGGUAUACAUUCAAUUAUCUAUAACAGCGGCUGCACCUGCCCCCAGAUAGGACGGCAAUCGGUCACUGAUAAUAUCUUUUUGGUCAGAGAAAGCUCGAAAUGCUCGGAAAGAACUCGGAUUUAUAUAUUUUGUUUGAUAAUAUUUGUUUAAUGUUGUCUCAGUUUUCCUACGUUUUUUUCGGUUUACCCAUGUUUUAUCCCAGUUUUUAAAAUUUAAUGCGAAAACUCUUAGAAAUAUUGAAAAAUUACCUCUUUAAGGUACCUCCCUAGUAAAAUUUCCUUUUAGAAACAUUGCUAUUAUUAUAAAUUAGAGUAAGAUUGGUAGCAUGGAAAAAUUGUCGUAAAUAUUUGUCGUUUUACCUAUAAUUUUCUUUCGGGUUUUCCCAAUUAUUUCAAAAACCCUCGGAAAAUAAAAAAAUUACUCCCCAACGCACCAACGAGAGAAAAUUAUUUUCAGAAGAGGUGAUGUAGUUUAUAUUUCGCAUCAAGUUUUCUGGUAGAAAAGUUGUUCACAUACAGGGAAAAAAAAUCAUAGUAAAAUCAAUAAAUCCCUCGCUACGCUCCGAAUCUAAAAACACAUCGUAUUAAAACGUGUAAAAUGGUAAUGAAUACAUACGCGUGGGAAGAAAGAGGAG
Molecule: non-coding RNA, 1689 nt
Organism: Cinara cedri
Lineage: Eukaryota; Metazoa; Arthropoda; Insecta; Hemiptera; Aphididae
Source: the annotation of a GenBank genome assembly